RNAcentral lists this ribosomal RNA (696 nucleotides) under Triticum aestivum (bread wheat). RNAcentral's name for it is "partial small subunit ribosomal RNA". The record is from RNAcentral. Lineage: Eukaryota; Viridiplantae; Streptophyta; Magnoliopsida; Poales; Poaceae.
AUGCACGCCUACUACGCGGCCGCCGCCUCCGCCGCCGGGAUCCCCUAUGCCGCGUGGCCGCUGCCGCCGCAGGCCCAGCAGCACGGCCUGGUGGCGGCCGGGCCGGGGGCCGCGUAUGGCGCGCCGGUGCCGUUCCCCAUGUACCACCACCCCGCGGCGGCGUACUACGCGCACGCGCACGCCUCCAUGGCCGCGGGGGUGCCUUACAUGGCCGGCGAGUCUGCCUCGGCGGCAGGGAAAGGGAAGAGGGUGGGGAAGACACGACGUGUCCCUUCCGGCGAGAUCAAUUCCAGCUCCGGGAGCGGCGAUGCCGGGAGCCAGGGGUCAUCGGAGAAGGGAGAUACGGGCGCCAAUCAGAAGGGCUCAUCAUCAUCUGCGAAGAGGAGGAAGUCCGGCGCUGCAAAUACAGAAGAUGGGUUAUCAGUUAUCACAAACCAUAAUUCCUGGAUACAAGGUGAGCCAUCUCAGGCUGCCACAGUGCAGAAUGCUGUAACCGAGCCGCCAUUGGAAGACAAGGAGAGGUCUACAUCCAAACUGUUAGUUUUGGCACCUGGGAGGGCGGCACUCACCAGUGCUGCACCGAACUUGAAUAUUGGGAUGGAUCCCUUGAGCGCUUCUCCAUCCUCCAUAGUACAGGGGGAGGUGAAUGCCGCAGCUUCUUCCCAGAGUAACGCUUCACUGUCUCAGAUGGUAUAG